Molecule: long non-coding RNA, 547 nt
Filed under: Pan troglodytes (chimpanzee)
Lineage: Eukaryota; Metazoa; Chordata; Mammalia; Primates; Hominidae
Description: long non-coding RNA NONPTRT009147
Source: RNAcentral
CAGGGCUCAGUCACCAACUAUUCAUAAGAGGGUAAGGAGACAGAUGCAGGCAGGGAGCGGGAGGAGGGAAUGGGAAUGAGCUGAGCAGCAGCAUCACAGCUGGAGGACUGGACAUGGAUGACCAGCUCCUCACUUCCAGGUGUUUCCACAUCAAGCAUCCUGCAGACAGCUAACAAGUUCAUUCUACAAAGUACAGUUCUCACCACUUUAUCCUUCCUCUGCUCGGAAACAGUCAAUGGUUUCCCACUGUCCACAGGGGAUGCUUAACGCAUGUGGGUUAUGCAGCUAGAAAGACAAGGCACAACCUCUUUGGUCUCUGCCUCUUUUCAUGGCACAGACACCAAAAGGCACAAAAUGUCAAGGAUUGUCCUGUCUACCAGCAAGAAAGAGACUACAGACAGCUAAGGGAGGAAGGUUCCACACACAGCUGCCAAGGACAACAGACAACAUGGGACCACUGCUUCUACACUCAGGAGGCCACACAUGGGUCCUAACAGGAACAUACAUUUACUCUGGACUGGGUUUUGCAUACUGGGUGGGAUAUGGU